Molecule: ribosomal RNA, 429 nt
Filed under: Bacteroidota bacterium
Lineage: Bacteria; Pseudomonadati; Bacteroidota
Description: Bacteroidetes bacterium partial 16S ribosomal RNA
Rfam family: Bacterial small subunit ribosomal RNA
Source: RNAcentral
UAGGGAAUCUUCCGCAAUGGACGCAAGUCUGACGGAGCAACGCCGCGUGAGUGAAGAAGGAUUUCGGUUCGUAAAACUCUGUUGUUAGAGAAGAACAGCGCAUAGAGUAACUGUUAUGCGUGUGACGGUAUCUAACCAGAAAGCCACGGCUAACUACGUGCCAGCAGCCGCGGUAAUACGUAGGUCCCGAGCGUUGUCCGGAUUUAUUGGGCGUAAAGCGCGCGUAGGCGGUUUUUUAAGUCUGAUGUGAAAGCCCACGGCUCAACCGUGGAGGGUCAUUGGAAACUGGAAAACUUGAGUGCAGAAGAGGAAAGUGGAAUUCCAUGUGUAGCGGUGAAAUGCGCAGAGAUAUGGAGGAACACCAGUGGCGAAGGCGACUUUCUGGUCUGUAACUGACGCUGAUGUGCGAAAGCGUGGGGAUCAAACAGG